GUGUCUAUUGAAAGGAGAGCUGGUUAGCACUCCCCUUGACAAGGAUGGAACACAUAAAUGGUCGGAUGGCACUGUUAGAUAUUCGACCGCCAAUUUUU
Molecule: small nuclear RNA, 98 nt
Organism: Contarinia nasturtii (swede midge)
Lineage: Eukaryota; Metazoa; Arthropoda; Insecta; Diptera; Cecidomyiidae
Source: RefSeq, a predicted model, not a curated record